RNAcentral lists this ribosomal RNA (408 nucleotides) under uncultured Sphingobacteriaceae bacterium. RNAcentral's name for it is "bacterial SSU rRNA". It matches the Rfam family "Bacterial small subunit ribosomal RNA", at positions 506 to 916 of the family's 1533-position model. The record is from RNAcentral. Lineage: Bacteria; Pseudomonadati; Bacteroidota; Sphingobacteriia; Sphingobacteriales; Sphingobacteriaceae.
UGUCAGCAGCCGCGGUAAUACGGAGGAUCCGAGCGUUAUCCGGAUUUAUUGGGUUUAAAGGGUGCGUAGGCGGCCUGUUAAGUCAGGGGUGAAAGACGGUAGCUCAACUAUCGCAGUGCCUUUGAUACUGACGGGCUUGAAUGUACUUGAGGUAGGCGGAAUGUGACAAGUAGCGGUGAAAUGCAUAGAUAUGUCACAGAACACCAAUUGCGAAGGCAGCUUACUAAGGUAUGAUUGACGCUGAGGCACGAAAGCGUGGGGAUCAAACAGGAUUAGAUACCCUGGUAGUCCACGCCCUAAACGAUGAAUACUCGAUGUUGGCGAUAUACGGCCAGCGUCUAAGCGAAAGCGUUAAGUAUUCCACCUGGGGAGUACGCCCGCAAGGGUGAAACUUAAAUAAAUUGACGG